ACAACUUAGGAAGGAAGCUUGGACAUGGGCAAUUUGGAACAACUUUUCUUUGCGUGGAGAAAGGGACAGGGAAACAGUAUGCUUGCAAAUCCAUUGCGAAGAGGAAAUUAUCAACACAAGAUGAUGUGGAGGAUGUGAGGAGAGAAAUUCAGAUAAUGCAUCACUUGUCAGGUCAUCCUAAUGUUAUAUCAAUUAAAGGGGCUUAUGAAGAUGGAGUGUCAGUAAAUGUUGUGAUGGAAUUGUGUGCUGGAGGUGAGCUAUUUGACAGGAUUAUUAAGCGAGGACAUUAUACAGAAAAAAAGGCAGCUCAACUCACUAAGACUAUAGUUGGUGUUAUAGAAACUUGCCAUUCUUUGGGAGUCAUGCAUAGGGAUCUGAAGCCAGAGAAUUUUCUCUUUGUCAAUGGGGAGGAGGAUUCACCUCUCAAAGCAAUAGAUUUUGGAUUAUCAGUGUUCUUCAAGCCCGGGGAGAUAUUCACUGAUGUGGUUGGAAGCCCAUACUAUGUCGCAC
RNAcentral lists this unclassified non-coding RNA (510 nucleotides) under Hevea brasiliensis (rubber tree). The record is from RNAcentral. Lineage: Eukaryota; Viridiplantae; Streptophyta; Magnoliopsida; Malpighiales; Euphorbiaceae.